Molecule: ribosomal RNA, 301 nt
Filed under: uncultured bacterium
Lineage: Bacteria
Description: partial 16S ribosomal RNA
Rfam family: Bacterial small subunit ribosomal RNA
Source: RNAcentral
CAGCCGCCGCGGUAAGACAGAGGAUGCAAGCGUUAUCCGGAAUGAUUGGGCGUAAAGCGUCUGUAGGUGGCUUUUCAAGUCCGCCGUCAAAUCCCAGGGCUCAACCCUGGACAGGCGGUGGAAACUACCAAGCUGGAGUACGGUAGGGGCAGAGGGAAUUUCCAGUGGAGCGGUGAAAUGCGUUGAGAUCGAAAAGAACACCAACAGCGAAAGCACUCUGCUGGGACGACACUGACACUAAGAGACGAAAGCUAGGGGAGCAAAUGGGAUUAGAUACCCGGGUAGUCCCUGUCUCUUAUAC